Long non-coding RNA from Eupeodes corollae, 633 nucleotides. RefSeq lists it as uncharacterized. NCBI's taxonomy places the organism in Eukaryota, Metazoa, Arthropoda, Insecta, Diptera, Syrphidae. The transcript has 2 exons. The record is from RefSeq and is a predicted model, not a curated record.
ACGCUGACGGACAACCAACUCGACGGACGAAAAUAUAUAAUAGUGAAAACUACCGGCAAUGUGGUAUGACCAUAAUAAUGUACACUAUUAUGUACGUUUGGUGAGAACGUGGCGUGGGUUGGGUUGGGUUAUGUGUUAAGAAUCUUGUUUACAGUUUUAAAAAUGAGUGUCAAUACAAAACACUAUAUUAUCUUCAAAAACUUCAUCGGUCGGUGGUCGGUAACGUCGCGUUGUCUCCGUCGUUUGUCGAUCAAAAUUAAGGUGGGUAACCAAUAUUUAUUCUCUAAGAUAAAAAAAAAUGAAGGAGCGGUAAAGAUUGCAAAUGUUUAAAUAUACUUAAAACUAAUAAUUGAUGAUUCUAUCAUUAAUAUUGUGUAACCUAUUCAUUUGUUGUUUUGUUUUUAUGUUUAUUAAUGUACUUUAAACGUUAUUUUGAACAAGCCUUCUAUUUAUUCAAUUGUCUAUGGUCGUAAGUACCUUCUUCAAAUGAGUUCUUAUAUUGUGUGGUAAUAUGGCUUUAUUUAAUUUAACGGUAAUAUAAUUUGUUAUUGUUUGUUUUAAUUAAGCGCCCUGUAAGGUGAGUAUGACUCACCUUACACCUUUUUGUUGUUAAUAAAUGGUUUUAAUUUUUUU